This 274-nucleotide ribosomal RNA is filed under the name uncultured bacterium. RNAcentral's name for it is "partial 16S ribosomal RNA". It matches the Rfam family "Bacterial small subunit ribosomal RNA", at positions 523 to 796 of the family's 1533-position model. The record is from RNAcentral.
AUACGGAGGGUGCAAGCGUUGUCCGGAUUUAUUGGGUUUAAAGGGUGUGUAGGCGGUGUAUUAAGUCAGUGGUGAAAGCCUGCGGCUCAACCGUAGAACUGCCAUUGAUACUGACACACUUGCGUUUGGUUGAGGUAGGCGGAAUUUAUGGUGUAGCGGUGAAAUGCAUAGAUACCAUAAAGAACACCGAUAGCGAAGGCAGCUUACUAAGCCGAAACUGACGCUGAGGCACGAUAGCGUGGGAAGCGAACAGGAUUAGAUACCCUGGUAGUCC